Molecule: ribosomal RNA, 460 nt
Filed under: uncultured bacterium
Lineage: Bacteria
Description: partial 16S ribosomal RNA
Rfam family: Bacterial small subunit ribosomal RNA
Source: RNAcentral
CCUACGGGUGGCAGCAGUGAGGAAUAUUGGUCAAUGGGCUUACGCCUGAACCAGCCAAGUCGCGUGAAGGAAGACUGCCCUAUGGGUUGUAAACCUCUUUUGUCAGGGAGCAACGCCGGCUACGUGUAGCCGGACGGAGGGUACCUGAAGAAAAAGCAUCGGCUAACUCCGUGCCAGCAGCGGCGUUAAUAGGGAGGAUGGGAGCGUUAUCCGGUUUUAUGGGGUUAAAGGGGUGCGUAGUCGGAAUUCCAAGUCAGCGGUAAAAUCGCGGGGUUAAACCUCGCUCUGCCGUUGAAACUGGCGUUCUUGAGUGGGCGAGAAGUAUGCGGAAUGCGUGGUGUAGCGGUGAAAUGCAUAGAUAUCACGCAGAACUCCGAUUGCGAAGGCAGCAUACUGGCGCCCAACUGACGCUGAAGCACGAAAGCGUGGGUAUCGAACAGGAUUAGAUACCCUGGUAGUC